GACGAACGCUGGCGGCGUGCUUAACACAUGCAAGUCGAACGGAAAGGCCCUGCUUUUGUGGGGUGCUCGAGUGGCGAACGGGUGAGUAACACGUGAGUAACCUGCCCUUGACUUUGGGAUAACUUCAGGAAACUGGGGCUAAUACCGGAUAGGAGCUCCUGCUGCAUGGUGGGGGUUGGAAAGUUUCGGCGGUUGGGGAUGGACGCGCGGCUUAUCAGCUUGUUGGUGGGGUAGUGGCUUACCAAGGCUUUGACGGGUAGCCGGCCUGAGAGGGUGACCGGCCACAUUGGGACUGAGAUACGGCCCAGACGCCUACGGGAGGCAGCAGUGGGGAAUAUUGCACAAUGGGCGGAAGCCUGAUGCAGCAACGCCGCGUGCGGGAGGACGGCCUUCGGGUUGUAAACCGCUUUCGCCUGUGACGAAGCGUGAGUGACGGUAAUGGGUAAAGAAGCACCGGCUAACUACGUG
RNAcentral lists this ribosomal RNA (468 nucleotides) under uncultured bacterium. Its description in RNAcentral is "partial 16S ribosomal RNA". It matches the Rfam family "Bacterial small subunit ribosomal RNA", at positions 28 to 507 of the family's 1533-position model. The record is from RNAcentral.